Molecule: long non-coding RNA, 950 nt
Organism: Triticum aestivum (bread wheat)
Lineage: Eukaryota; Viridiplantae; Streptophyta; Magnoliopsida; Poales; Poaceae
Exons: 3
Source: RefSeq, a predicted model, not a curated record
UAUGUUUCGCCUAUUCAUCUUCUCUUGAUAACCCUCCUUUUAAGCCAUGGGUUCGUUCCCGUCACCUACACCAAAGCUGAGUCGAUCAAUUGCUUGAUGGCAGGAAACACUCACAUUGGAGGAAGAGGCGCUGGCAGAGGAAGGCGGCUUGCCACGGGACUCCACGGCACGGUCGCCGGCGUUCUGCACCUUCCACCGUUGUCUCCUGUAGGUGUAUAUCUCCCUUCCUCUGGCCGCCCAUGUCCCUGCUACAGCCGGUGGACCUCCACGGAUCGGACGACGAGGGCACCGACGACCAUGGACAGUCCCGCGACGCCAGGCAUGUCCGACCUCUUUCGGUGGCUUUCUGCUGCCCCUACAUGUGGAGCUCAACAUGGAGGAACUCGCCGUGGCCCGAGUAUCGCUCUGUCCACCGCCCCGCACGUCAACUGCUCCAACGCCCACCAAGUGUUUGGUGUAAUGUCGGUAUGGGCGGAUGGCUGUAGCAUCGGCAACCCAACGGAUCUGAUUACCGAAUGCCAUGCGGCGACCGCAGUGUGCUGAUGCAUGCCUGCGACAUGACCGACACACUGGAACAACUCAACUCCUUCUGGCUUCCCAACCUCCGGCGUGCCCAUGUGAUGCUGCCUACAGCCUCCCAUGCAUCAGGUGAAGCUGCUGGAGAUCAUGGUGUGGGUUCAAGAUGAACCUCAUGGAUGAACGACAGGGUCACACGUUGCCUCCAUGCCAGAUACACUCUGCUGCCGUGCUGCUGAUGUUGCGUCAACGGCGCUGAGGAAUUUGCAUGUGAGCAAGUAGCUAACCACUUAAUCCAUGAUUAAAUCUCCUAAUUAGCCUCGCCAUGUCGUUCGUUUCAGUUCCUGCAUCUCUGACUCUGUUCCUACAAGUGGUGAUGGGCAGGACGAAUUUGUAAUCCCCUUUGCCUGCUGGUACCUACCGCAUGGCAUUAU